GUAGGUGGAGCUCAGUGGUGGAGCUUCUGCCUAGCAGGUGUAAGGCCCUGGGUUUGAUCCCAGCACACACA
This 71-nucleotide transfer RNA is filed under the name Ictidomys tridecemlineatus (thirteen-lined ground squirrel). RNAcentral describes it as "Spermophilus tridecemlineatus (thirteen-lined ground squirrel) tRNA". It matches the Rfam family "tRNA". From Rfam's summary of the family: Transfer RNA (tRNA) molecules are approximately 80 nucleotides in length. Their secondary structure includes four short double-helical elements and three loops (D, anti-codon, and T loops). Lineage: Eukaryota; Metazoa; Chordata; Mammalia; Rodentia; Sciuridae. The record is from Rfam by way of RNAcentral.